This 253-nucleotide ribosomal RNA is filed under the name uncultured bacterium. RNAcentral describes it as "partial 16S ribosomal RNA". It matches the Rfam family "Bacterial small subunit ribosomal RNA", at positions 524 to 776 of the family's 1533-position model. The record is from RNAcentral.
UACGGAGGGAGCUAGCGUUGUUCGGAAUUACUGGGCGUAAAGCGCGCGUAGGCGGCGAACCAAGUCAGGGGUGAAAUCCCGGGGCUCAACCCCGGAACUGCCUUUGAAACUAGUGUGCUAGAAUCUUGGAGAGGUCAGUGGAAUUCCGAGUGUAGAGGUGAAAUGCGUAGAUAUUCGGAGGAACACCAGUGGCGAAGGCGACUGACUGGACAAGUAUUGACGCUGAGGUGCGAAAGCGUGGGGAGCAAACAGG